Molecule: ribosomal RNA, 456 nt
Filed under: Triticum aestivum (bread wheat)
Lineage: Eukaryota; Viridiplantae; Streptophyta; Magnoliopsida; Poales; Poaceae
Description: partial small subunit ribosomal RNA
Source: RNAcentral
AUGAGCUGUUUGAGCUGGAACUGCCGGGGGCUUGGGAACCCCGAGGCAGUUCGAGAGCUUCGCAAUGUGGUGAAGCAAGAAGGGUCCGAGCUGGUUUUUGUUAUGGAGACAAAGAUCAGAGGCAAACGAGUGGAGGAUUUGCGGCACACCCUAGGGUUUGCAGGCAGUUUUGCGGUGGACAGUGACGGCCUAAGCAGUGGUGUAGGGCUGUUCUGGUCUAAAGAAGUGGAUGUUGAACUUAAGUCGUAUAGUAAGAGUCACAUAGAUGUUUUGGUCCAGGAUGGUGUACCGGGCUCAAAUGCAUGGAGGCUGACGGGGUUUUAUGGAGCGCUGAGAGCAGCAGAUCGUCACCACAGCUGGCGCUUCCUAAGAACACUACAUACUAUUCCUCAUGCUGCAUGGAUGUGUAUUGGUGACUUCAACGAAACUCUGUAUCAAGACGAGCACUUCAGCUGA